CAAAAAUAAACAGAAAACCUACCAAACAAAAAAGUAUUAAACGAACAUUGAAAUAGCCAGACAUGUGUAAUAUAACAAACAAACUACAUACAAAAGUACAUAAUAAGAGAUCCAAACAUUAAAUUAAAACAAACAACUUACCGGGAUGUCCUUCACCUACAGAUUCGGAAGUGAAUAGAAAUGAUUGUCCAUCUUCCAUGUCAUAUUGAGUGCCGUUGCCGUUGCAACCGUUUGAGUGUCCAUUGGUAACUGUUUGUGGCAUUUUGUUAAAGUUUUUUGUUGAUAAAUUCCGGUUCUAAA
Molecule: long non-coding RNA, 300 nt
Organism: Lucilia sericata (common green bottle fly)
Lineage: Eukaryota; Metazoa; Arthropoda; Insecta; Diptera; Calliphoridae
Exons: 2
Source: RefSeq, a predicted model, not a curated record